This 73-nucleotide transfer RNA is filed under the name Hemiphyllodactylus jinpingensis. RNAcentral describes it as "partial tRNA-Asx". The record is from RNAcentral. Lineage: Eukaryota; Metazoa; Chordata; Lepidosauria; Squamata; Gekkonidae. RNAcentral also lists the same sequence under 4 other names.
UGAGUUAAAGCCCGCUGGGUUGGGUGUUUAGUUGUUAAUUAAAAUUUUACGGGAUCGAGGCCCGUUAGCUCAG